RNAcentral lists this ribosomal RNA (250 nucleotides) under uncultured Chroococcidiopsis sp. Its description in RNAcentral is "partial 16S ribosomal RNA". It matches the Rfam family "Bacterial small subunit ribosomal RNA", at positions 796 to 1044 of the family's 1533-position model. The record is from RNAcentral. Lineage: Bacteria; Bacillati; Cyanobacteriota; Cyanophyceae; Chroococcidiopsidales; Chroococcidiopsidaceae.
CUAGCUGUAAACGAUGGAUACUAGGCGUUGAGAGUAUCGACCCUCUCAGUGUCGUAGCUAACGCGUUAAGUAUCCCGCCUGGGGAGUACGCGCGCAAGCGUGAAACUCAAAGGAAUUGACGGGGGCCCGCACAAGCGGUGGAGUAUGUGGUUUAAUUCGAUGCAACGCGAAGAACCUUACCAGGGCUUGACACGUCCGGAACCCUGCCCAAAGGCGGGGGUGCCUACGGGAACCGGAACACAGGUGGUGC